This 198-nucleotide ribosomal RNA is filed under the name uncultured bacterium. RNAcentral's name for it is "partial 16S ribosomal RNA". It matches the Rfam family "Bacterial small subunit ribosomal RNA", at positions 328 to 539 of the family's 1533-position model. The record is from RNAcentral.
ACGCUCGACACCUACGGGAGGCAGCAGUGGGAAUAUUGCACAAUGGGGGAAACCCUGAUGCAGCGACGCCGCGUGAGCGAAGAAGUAUUUCGGUAUGUAAAGCUCUAUCAGCAGGGAAGAAGAAAGACGGUACCUGACUAAGAAGCCCCGGCUAACUACGUGCCAACAGCCGCGGUAAUCUGAGCGGGCUGGCAAGGC